UCAGAAAUGAGAGAUGAAACACUGGGUUUCAAGAGGUUUUUGGACCACAGGGAUGUGAAAGCUUUCUCCAACAUUGGGUCAUGAGGAACACUUUUUCCAG
This is a non-coding RNA of Vicugna pacos (alpaca), 100 nucleotides long. The record is from RefSeq and is a predicted model, not a curated record. NCBI's taxonomy places the organism in Eukaryota, Metazoa, Chordata, Mammalia, Artiodactyla, Camelidae.